AGGACGAACGCUGGCGGCGUGCUUAACACAUGCAAGUCGAACGGUAAGGCCUUUCGGGGUACACGAGUGGCGAACGGGUGAGUAACACGUGGGUGAUCUGCCCUGCACUUUGGGAUAAGCCUGGGAAACUGGGUCUAAUACCGAAUAUGACCAUGGGAUGCAUGUCUUGUGGUGGAAAGCUUUUGCGGUGUGGGAUGGGCCCGCGGCCUAUCAGCUUGUUGGUGGGGUUACGGCCUACCAAGGCGACGACGGGUAGCCGGCCUGAGAGGGUGUCCGGCCACACUGGGACUGAGAUACGGCCCAGACUCCUACGGGAGGCAGCAGUGGGGAAUAUUGCACAAUGGGCGAAAGCCUGAUGCAGCGACGCCGCGUGAGGGACGAAGGCCUUCGGGUUGUAAACCUCUUUCAGCACAGACGAAGCGCAAGUGACGGUAUGUGCAGAAGAGGACCGGCAACUACGUGCCAGCAGCCGC
This 473-nucleotide ribosomal RNA is filed under the name uncultured bacterium. Its description in RNAcentral is "SSU rRNA". It matches the Rfam family "Bacterial small subunit ribosomal RNA", at positions 26 to 518 of the family's 1533-position model. The record is from RNAcentral.